Molecule: long non-coding RNA, 354 nt
Filed under: Sorghum bicolor (sorghum)
Lineage: Eukaryota; Viridiplantae; Streptophyta; Magnoliopsida; Poales; Poaceae
Description: long non-coding RNA (SBIC_LNC008235)
Source: RNAcentral
UGCGCUUGCGGAUCAUUUCCUGAUGGCAUUACCAAAUAUCAAUAAACAUUUCUGGCGCCGUUGCUGGGGAGAAAGACGGUCUGCUGAGAUAACUUUUAAUCUUGCUAUUAUCUUGUAUUAUACUUUUAUUCUUUUAUUCUUUUAUCUUUUUACUUUUUCCAUCUUUAUGCAUAACUCAAGUUCUACCCCUAUUAUUUAAUUCUUUGCACCUUCGGAGACCAGCCAUAGACCAUGGGAGUCAACAAGUCCUGCCCCUAAUUAUGAUCUGUGUCCGGAGUUGAUUGCAAUAGGUCAAAACCAACCCCUUUUAGCUACACCUAGGGAAUCUUUUAAUCUUUAUAUAAAUUCUGGUUU